UACGGAGGGGGUUAGCGUUGUUCGGAAUUACUGGGCGUAAAGCGCACGUAGGCGGACUAUUAAGUCAGGGGUGAAAUCCCGGGGCUCAACCCCGGAACUGCCCUUGAUACUGGCAGUCUAGAGUUCGAGAGAGGUGAGCGGAAUUCCGAGUGUAGAGGUGAAAUUCGUAGAUAUUCGGAGGAACACCAGUGGCGAAGGCGGCUCACUGGCUCGAUACUGACGCUGAGGUGCGAAAGUGUGGGGAGCAAACAGG
Molecule: ribosomal RNA, 253 nt
Filed under: uncultured bacterium
Lineage: Bacteria
Description: partial 16S ribosomal RNA
Rfam family: Bacterial small subunit ribosomal RNA
Source: RNAcentral